RNAcentral lists this ribosomal RNA (468 nucleotides) under uncultured bacterium. RNAcentral's name for it is "partial 16S ribosomal RNA". It matches the Rfam family "Bacterial small subunit ribosomal RNA", at positions 28 to 507 of the family's 1533-position model. The record is from RNAcentral.
GACGAACGCUGGCGGCGUGCUUAACACAUGCAAGUCGAACGGAAAGGCCCUGCUUUUGCGGGGUGCUCGAGUGGCGAGCGGGUGUGAAACACGUGAGUAACCUGCCCUUGACUGUGGGAUAACUCCAGGAAACUGGGGCUAAUACAGGCUAGGAGCUCCUGCUGCAUGGUGGGGGUAGGAACGUUUCGGCGGUGGGGGAUGGACUCGCGGCUAACCAGCUUGUUGGUGGGGUAGUGGCUUACCAAGGCUUUGACGGGUAGCCGGCAUGAGAGCGUGACCGGCCACAAUGCGACUGCGAUACGGACCAGACUCCUACGGUGGGCAGCAGUGGGGAAUAUUGCACAGUGGGCGGAAGCCUGAUGCAACAACGCCGCGUGCGGGAUGACGGCCUUCGGGUUGUAAACCGCUUUCGCCUGUGACGAAGCGUGAGUGACGGUAAUGGGUAAAGAAGCACCGGCUAACUACGUG